CACUCGGCUCGUGGAUCGAUGAAGAACGCAGCAAACUGCGCGUCGAAGUGUGAACUGCAGGACACUUGAUCAUCG
This 75-nucleotide ribosomal RNA is filed under the name Cordulegaster bilineata. RNAcentral describes it as "partial 5.8S ribosomal RNA". It matches the Rfam family "5.8S ribosomal RNA", at positions 20 to 94 of the family's 154-position model. From Rfam's summary of the family: 5.8S ribosomal RNA (5.8S rRNA) is a component of the large subunit of the eukaryotic ribosome. It is transcribed by RNA polymerase I as part of the 45S precursor that also contains 18S and 28S rRNA. Lineage: Eukaryota; Metazoa; Arthropoda; Insecta; Odonata; Cordulegastridae. The record is from RNAcentral.